CGCGUGAGGAACCUGCCUCAAAGAGGGGGACAACAGUUGGAAACGACUGCUAAUACCGCAUAAGCCCACGGGUCGGCAUCGACCUGAGGGAAAAGGAGCAAUCCGCUUUGAGAUGGCCUCGCGUCCGAUUAGCUAGUUGGUGAGGUAACGGCCCACCAAGGCGACGAUCGGUAGCCGGACUGAGAGGUUGAACGGCCACAUUGGGACUGAGACACGGCCCAGACUCCUACGGGAGGCAGCAGUGGGGAAUAUUGCACAAUGGGGGAAACCCUGAUGCAGCGACGCCGCGUGGAGGAAGAAGGUCUUCGGAUUGUAAACUCCUGUUGUUGAGGAAGAUAAUGACGGUACUCAACAAGGAAGUGACGGCUAACUACGUGCCAGCAGCCGCGG
This 390-nucleotide ribosomal RNA is filed under the name uncultured bacterium. Its description in RNAcentral is "bacterial SSU rRNA". It matches the Rfam family "Bacterial small subunit ribosomal RNA", at positions 114 to 520 of the family's 1533-position model. The record is from RNAcentral.